GGAUUCCCCUAGUAACUGCGAGUGAAGCGGGAAAAGCUCAAAUUUAAAAUCUGGUGGUCUCAGGCCAUCCGAGUUGUAGUCUGGAGAAGUGCUUUCUGCAUUGGACCGUGUAUAAGUCUCUUGGAACAGAGCGUCAUAGAGGGUGAGAAUCCCGUCUUUGACACGGACUACCAGUGCUUUGUGAUGUGCUCUCAAAGAGUCGAGUUGUUUGGGAAUGCAGCUCAAAAUGGGUGGUAAAUUCCAUCUAAAGCUAAAUAUUGGCGAGAGACCGAUAGCGAACAAGUACCGUGAGGGAAAGAUGAAAAGCACUUUGGAAAGAGAGUUAAACAGUACGUGAAAUUGCUGAAAGGGAAACGCUUGAAGUCAGUCGCGUCUGCCGGAACUCAGCCUUCCUUUUGGUUGGUGCACUUUCCGGUAGACGGGCCAGCAUCGAUUUCGACCGUCGGAAAAGGGCUGGGGAAAUGUGGCACCUUUCGGGGUGUGUUAUAGUCCCCAGUCGCAUACGUCGGUUGGGAUCGAGGAUCGCAGCGCGCCGCAAGGCAGGGGUUCCCCCACUUUCGCGCUUAGGAUGCUGGCAUAAUGGCUUUAAACGACCCGUCUUGAAACACGGACCAAGGAGUCUAACAAACCUGCGAGUGUUUGGGUGGAAAACUCGAGCGCGUAAUGAAAGUGAAAG
RNAcentral lists this ribosomal RNA (676 nucleotides) under Polyporus arcularius. RNAcentral describes it as "eukaryotic LSU rRNA". It matches the Rfam family "Eukaryotic large subunit ribosomal RNA", at positions 72 to 731 of the family's 3401-position model. Lineage: Eukaryota; Fungi; Basidiomycota; Agaricomycetes; Polyporales; Polyporaceae. The record is from RNAcentral.